UAGGGAAUCUUCGGCAAUGGACGAAAGUCUGACCGAGCAACGCCGCGUGAGUGAAGAAGGUUUUCGGAUCGUAAAACUCUGUUGUUAGAGAAGAACAAGGACGUUAGUAACUGAACGUCCCCUGACGGUAUCUAACCAGAAAGCCACGGCUAACUACGUGCCAGCAGCCGCGGUAAUACGUAGGUGGCAAGCGUUGUCCGGAUUUAUUGGGCGUAAAGCGAGCGCAGGCGGUUUGUUAAGUCAGAUGUGAAAUCCCCGGGCUCAACCUGGGAACUGCAUCUGAUACUGGCAAGCUUGAGUCUCGUAGAGGGGGGUAGAAUUCCAGGUGUAGCGGUGAAAUGCGUAGAGAUCUGGAGGAAUACCGGUGGCGAAGGCGGCCCCCUGGACAAAGACUGACGCUCAGGUGCGAAAGCGUGGGGAGCAAACAGG
Molecule: ribosomal RNA, 429 nt
Filed under: Chloroflexota bacterium
Lineage: Bacteria; Bacillati; Chloroflexota
Description: Chloroflexi bacterium partial 16S ribosomal RNA
Rfam family: Bacterial small subunit ribosomal RNA
Source: RNAcentral